Molecule: ribosomal RNA, 599 nt
Filed under: Pichia fermentans
Lineage: Eukaryota; Fungi; Ascomycota; Pichiomycetes; Pichiales; Pichiaceae
Description: eukaryotic LSU rRNA
Rfam family: Eukaryotic large subunit ribosomal RNA
Source: RNAcentral
GCAUAUCAAUAAGCGGAGGAAAAGAAACCAACAGGGAUUGCCCCAGUAGCGGCGAGUGAAGCGGCAAAAGCUCAGAUUUGGAAUCGCUUCGGCGAGUUGUGAAUUGCAGGUUGGCGCCUCUGCGGCGGCGGCGGUCCAAGUCCCUUGGAACAGGGCGCCAUUGAGGGUGAGAGCCCCGUGGGACCGUUUGCCUACGCUCUGAGGCCCUUCUGACGAGUCGAGUUGUUUGGGAAUGCAGCUCUAAGCGGGUGGUAAAUUCCAUCUAAGGCUAAAUACUGGCGAGAGACCGAUAGCGAACAAGUACUGUGAAGGAAAGAUGAAAAGCACUUUGAAAAGAGAGUGAAACAGCACGUGAAAUUGUUGAAAGGGAAGGGUAUUGCGCCCGACAUGGAGCGUGCGCACCGCUGCCCCUCGUGGGCGGCGCUCUGGGCGUGCUCUGGGCCAGCAUCGGUUUUUGCCGCGGGAGAAGGGCGGCGGGCAUGUAGCUCUUCGGAGUGUUAUAGCCUGCCGCCGGCGCCGCGAGCGGGGACCGAGGACUGCGACUUUUGUCUCGGAUGCUGGCACAACGGCGCAACACCGCCCGUCUUGAAACACGGACC